CAGUCGCCGCGGUAAUACGUAGGGUGCAAGCGUUAAUCGGAAUUACUGGGCGUAAAGCGUGCGCAGGCGGUUUGUUAAGACAGAUGUGAAAUCCCCGGGCUUAACCUGGGAACUGCAUUUGUGACUGGCAAGCUAGAGUAUGGCAGAGGGGGGUGGGAUUCCGCGUGUAGCAGUGAAAUGCGUAGAUAUGCGGAGGAACACCGAUGGCGAAGGCAGCCCCCUGGGCCAAUACUGACGCUCAUGCACGAAAGCGUGGGGAGCAAACAGGAUUAGAUACCCGGGUAGUCCCUGUCUCUUAUAC
This 301-nucleotide ribosomal RNA is filed under the name uncultured bacterium. Its description in RNAcentral is "partial 16S ribosomal RNA". It matches the Rfam family "Bacterial small subunit ribosomal RNA", at positions 509 to 807 of the family's 1533-position model. The record is from RNAcentral.